RNAcentral lists this long non-coding RNA (773 nucleotides) under Hordeum vulgare. RNAcentral's name for it is "long non-coding RNA (HVUL_LNC014708)". The record is from RNAcentral. Lineage: Eukaryota; Viridiplantae; Streptophyta; Magnoliopsida; Poales; Poaceae.
UAAGAGUUAAAUUACGGAAAAGAGUAACUUUGAGUACUAAACUAGAAAGUCCAUUGGCCUGAUGGAUAAACGGCACAGAUCUGUUAAAUUGUGGUUUAAAACAGAUAUUUUGGAGACUUAUACUCAUUAGAUUAGUCUCGAAUUGGAUGGUUAAAUUGAAAAUUUGCCAAAGAGAUGAGAUCUUCAAGUGACAAUUUUACCGACUGCUGUUGCGAGCCGCGUGAUGGACGAUGCCGCUGCUGUGUGUCGCACUUCAUGUGUUCCAGGAAACACCGAUGUUGUGCAUGAGGGUGCGGCCGGUUAUCUAAUUUUUUCGCUGCGCCACGAGAGUGCGCUGUUGUAAAGAACAUCGGCUGUUGGCCGUGACCAUCAUUGCUGGAUGCGCUGGUGUCGUAAUUGCCUUUCGUGAGAUGAAGGGAUCAAAUAUGGAUGGAUCCAUCUGUUUCCAUGUGAAGAAGCGAUUCUCACAAAGGUGUACAUGCAAAAAGGAUCAAUAAUCAGAUCAUUGAUUUUAAUUACAAGAAGACGAGCAAAUUAGUAUUCUCGUGGCCGACUUCCUGCGUGGUUGCAUGCUUGUUAAUAUGUGUUGUAGAUGGCGGAGUGGAUGAUCGGCUCCUUGGGCAGGGUCCGUGCAUGGCUGUAGAGCAAUCAAGAUGCAAGGAUCUCAAUCAAAACUAUUUUGUCCAGCGAUUCUUCUAGGAACUGAAUCAACCAUCUUGUCCAGCGAUAAUCCGAGAUCAAUUGCUCUCAGCAUGGAGAACAAAAGUGCUGAU